Molecule: ribosomal RNA, 422 nt
Filed under: uncultured bacterium
Lineage: Bacteria
Description: bacterial SSU rRNA
Rfam family: Bacterial small subunit ribosomal RNA
Source: RNAcentral
GGGCCCGCACAAGCGGUGGAGCAUGUGGUUUAAUUCGAUGAUACGCGAGGAACCUUACCAGGGCUUAAAUGUAGUUUGACCGGUCUGGAAACAGACUUUCUCUUCGGAGCAGAUUACAAGGUGCUGCAUGGUUGUCGUCAGCUCGUGCCGUGAGGUGUUAGGUUAAGUCCUGCAACGAGCGCAACCCCUAUUCUUAGUUGCCAGCGGUUCGGCCGGGGACUCUAAGAAGACUGCCAGCGCAAGCUGAGAGGAAGGUGGGGAUGACGUCAAAUCAUCACGGCCCUUACGUCCUGGGCUACACACGUGCUACAAUGGUAGAGACAGAGGGCAGCCACCUGGUGACAGGGAGCGAAUCCUUAAACUCUAUCUCAGUUCGGAUCGAAGUCUGCAACUCGACUUCGUGAAGCUGGAAUCGCUAGUAA